This is a non-coding RNA of Arvicanthis niloticus (Nile rat), 1229 nucleotides long. Lineage: Eukaryota; Metazoa; Chordata; Mammalia; Rodentia; Muridae. The record is from RefSeq and is a predicted model, not a curated record.
GAAAGGAUGUUGCCUCUCUAGGCCUAAGCUUGCCUCAGUAUCCCUACAGCACGGUUGCCAUAACAACUAGCAAUCCUAGAGAGUCUCCGCUUCCUCCCAGGAAAGGCAUGAAGAGCUACUUUGAGCCCAGUCCCCAGCUUUCAUCAGUUCCUGGAAGCCCUGCCCAACCAAGCGAGUGGAACGCAGGGCGUCUUCACCCUGCGCCUUUCAUCCUCCACGGAUCUCUAAGCACCAACUGGUUCAUCACCCCAAUGACGCGGACCCUUUUAUGAGGCUGCUUUCAUGUCGGCCGCUUGGGAGUGCCAUCUCGGCUUUAAGCCUAGAAAGGAUGACAUGGCGCCCCAGCCCCUGCCCCGGAGUUUAUAAGGGGUGAGGUCCCUUUUCCUUAGUGUCUCCCGUACUCCUACUUCUCAUAAACUCUACCCAACACGCUUGUCUGACCAAAUGUUGUGUGGAUUGGGAAGACAGCUUAAUCAUCUUUGUAGUACCACUACAACACACAACAGUGUUUAGUUGUAUUAAAUUGGGGCCCUCUGGGGUUAAAUGUGCGGAGGAGACGACCUUGAGAUUGUAAUUUAAAGCCAAAAGGACCGAAAAUAAGACAAUGGAAUUUAAACAUCGUCUAUCUCACUUCCCUUACGGAAAGCUGUGUGUCAAAGUCUGGAACCUUAUUUGUAGGUCCUUAUCAUUACUGACGAAGUGGAAACACAGGGCCCACUGGAUAGAGAAUGAAAGAAAGCUGGGCCUCGGUGGGUUGGAAUGCUGUGACCCUUAAUACAGCUCCUCUGUCGUGGUUAUCCCCAGCCAUAGAAUUAGUGUUGCUACUUCAUAACUGUAUCUUUGUUACUGUUACAAAUCGUAAUGUAAAUAUUUUUGAAGAUAGAGGUUUGCCAAAAGGGCAUGAUCCACAGGUUGAGAACCACUGCCUUAAUUAAUAAAUUGAUUGAACGUGCUUUCAACCACUUCUCAACAACAGGGGGAAAAAAGCAAAUUUUUAUUCCUUCCUGAAUUCCUUAUGUUGGAUUCCAUCUGUUCAUCUGUUCAACUGGUCACCACAUGAAACAUGGGGUAAAUCAUACAGGCCUCAGAAUUGCCCUUGGCUUGCAACCUUGUCAUCAGUGCUUUAUGUCCUCACGACACAUGUUCCCCAAAUCUCCUUUUUGUACCAAAGUCGUCACAUUAAAAGCAAAUAAAUAAACUCAGAGACUUCAAAUGGUCUCCUAACUGAU